GACGAACGCUGGCGGCGUGCCUAAUACAUGCAAGUCGAGCGAAGUUUUUCUGGUGCUUGCACUAGAAAAACUUAGCGGCGAACGGGUGAGUAACACGUAAAGAACCUGCCUCAUAGACUGGGACAACUAUUGGAAACGAUAGCUAAUACCGGAUAACAGUAUUUCUCGCAUGAGAGAUAUUUAAAAGUUGGUUAUGCUAACACUAUGAGAUGGCUUUGCGGUGCAUUAGCUAGUUGGUGGGGUAAAGGCCCACCAAGGCGACGAUGCAUAGCCGACCUGAGAGGGUGAUCAGCCACACUGGGACUGAGACACGGCCCAGACUCCUACGGGAGGCAGCAGUAGGGAAUCUUCCGCAAUGGGCGAAAGCCUGACGGAGCAACGCCGCGUGAGUGAAGAAGGAUUUCGGUUCGUAAAGCUCUGUUGUUAGGGAAGAAUGGAUAUGUAGUAACUAUACAUGUAAGAGACGGUACCUAACCAGAAAGCCACGGCUAACUACGUG
Molecule: ribosomal RNA, 499 nt
Filed under: uncultured bacterium
Lineage: Bacteria
Description: partial 16S ribosomal RNA
Rfam family: Bacterial small subunit ribosomal RNA
Source: RNAcentral